CUGGCUUCUGGGUCAUGGAAGUAUUGAGACUCAUUUAUUCAAUAGUCUAAAGUUAAUGAGACUAAAAGCGACUGUUGUACCAACUCAAUAAGGUUCUCUGCAUGGGAGUUGCUGUUCCACAACGUGCAAAUGAGUGUUAAUUUUCUGGUUUCAUUUCAUUAGAAGAACUGGCAAAAUGUGUAUCUGAAAUUCUGCUGUUACUUUACUAUUAUCCUUGCUAGCGAUCAUCAGCGAAGACUCGAACAGCCAUGUCAGCCGUCUGUCAAUUCUAAGCAUGGAUGCAAUGUUCCCUUGAUUUUGAUGAACACAAUCAGAACACAUGAUAGUACCCUGAAGGCAGUGGAGCAAUAUUCGAAGAAAACUGUUGAUAUUCUUACUAGCGAUCAUCAGCGAAGACUCGAACAGCCAUGUCAGCCGG
This is a non-coding RNA of Camellia sinensis, 418 nucleotides long. Lineage: Eukaryota; Viridiplantae; Streptophyta; Magnoliopsida; Ericales; Theaceae. The record is from RefSeq and is a predicted model, not a curated record.